Molecule: long non-coding RNA, 679 nt
Filed under: Triticum aestivum (bread wheat)
Lineage: Eukaryota; Viridiplantae; Streptophyta; Magnoliopsida; Poales; Poaceae
Description: long non-coding RNA (TAES_LNC014741)
Source: RNAcentral
CGGUGAUGUACAGGUCAUCCUCACCCGCUUGGAUUCGCCUCCUCCUCGACGCGACACUCCAACAUGGACGUGGUGAGUUUCCUCUCCCCCUCCCCCCCUUCCCAUCCACCCCCAAAUCUGGAUGGCACUUGCAUCUGUACGUACAUCCAUAUGAAUAAGCCCCAUUGUUUGGCUCAGUUUGUAUGGUUCCAUUUUUAAAAACGUUGACUGAAACUAUCUAGAUGGCACCUGCAUCUGUAAAUGCAUAAGAAUAAGCAUCACACCUUGGUUCAAUUUCUGUGUCAAUUUGGUUUAACUUUGACUGAACAUAUAUAUAUAUAUGAGCAAAUAUAUUAUUUUGUUUCAGUUAAGAAUGCAUGGAUUCUGUUCCUGUUACCUCCACUUUUUUGCCUCAACAACAAGCAAAGCAAGGACCCAUUGAAAAUUGUAAUUGCACCUAGUCUUGUAGGUUAAUUAUCUGAAUAUCUGAAAUUAUAUGGUUGGUUCAUAGCUGCUGUUCAGGUCACUUAUUUAUAGGUUAACACUUGUUUCAUUCAUGCAUAUUUGUGCAGGAAGGAUUGUGUAGAACAGAGGAGAAGGGGCACAUGAUACCAUCCCAGUUUGUUGGCAAACAGGCUCAUUUUAUUUGCUUUGCACAGAUGUGAGUUAAGUAGGUCUAUACCAUAUAAAGUGAGCUAAC